UGGGGAAUUUUGGACAAUGGGGGAAACCCUGAUCCAGCCAUCCCGCGUGUGCGAUGAAGGCCUUCGGGUUGUAAAGCACUUUUGGCAGGAAAGAAACGUCGCGGGUUAAUACCCCGCGAAACUGACGGUACCUGCAGAAUAAGCACCGGCUAACUACGUGCCAGCAGCCGCGGUAAUACGUAGGGUGCAAGCGUUAAUCGGAAUUACUGGGCGUAAAGCGUGCGCAGGCGGUUCGGAAAGAAAGAUGUGAAAUCCCAGAGCUUAACUUUGGAACUGCAUUUUUAACUACCGGGCUAGAGUGUGUCAGAGGGAGGUGGAAUUCCGCGUGUAGCAGUGAAAUGCGUAGAUAUGCGGAGGAACACCGAUGGCGAAGGCAGCCUCCUGGGAUAACACUGACGCUCAUGCACGAAAGCGUGGGGAGCAAACAGGAUUAGAUACCCUGGUAGUCCACGCCCUAAACGAUGUCAACUAGCUGUUGGGGCCUUCGGGCCUUGGUAGCGCAGCUAACGCGUGAAGUUGACCGCCUGGGGAGUACGGUCGCAAGAUUAAACUC
Molecule: ribosomal RNA, 553 nt
Filed under: uncultured bacterium
Lineage: Bacteria
Description: partial 16S ribosomal RNA
Rfam family: Bacterial small subunit ribosomal RNA
Source: RNAcentral